UGCGCAGGUGGGUUUGUAAGUCAGUGGUGAAAUGCUGCCGCUUAACGGUAGAAUUGCCAUUGAUACUGCAAAUCUUGAGUAUGGUUGAGGUAUGCGGAAUGUGUUGUGUAGCGGUGAAAUGCAUAGAUAUGACACAGAACGCCGAUUGCGAAGGCAGCUUACUAAGCCAUUACUGACGCUGAGGCACGAAAGCGUGGGUAGCGAACAGGAUUAGAUACCCUGGUAGUCC
Molecule: ribosomal RNA, 229 nt
Filed under: uncultured bacterium
Lineage: Bacteria
Description: partial 16S ribosomal RNA
Rfam family: Bacterial small subunit ribosomal RNA
Source: RNAcentral